This 45-nucleotide non-coding RNA is filed under the name Schistosoma margrebowiei. Lineage: Eukaryota; Metazoa; Platyhelminthes; Trematoda; Strigeidida; Schistosomatidae. The record is from RNAcentral.
AUCUAACUGACGAGUUCCAACUUAGACGAAACUCGGGUCCUGGAU